CUGGGAGCCACAAGAUUUGAGGUGGCGGGACCUGUCAGCAGAAUGUGUCCUCCCCCUGCGUGCAACUUUGAGGCCACCGAGAUGAGUUCCACGGCCUGGCCCUCGCGAGCACCCACAUCUCAUUAGCCAGGAGUCCGCCAGGUGCCAUGGUGUGCUAGCCCCAAAGAGCCGCCCGUGACCUCAGGUCUCCAUAGACCCGGGAUUUGUACAGCAGCAGAGUCACCGUGGAGAGGCCAGGGUACCACAAACUUAUGGAUUUUGACAAGAAAGGAGGGAAAGGGGAGUCGGAGGAGGGCCGGAGAAUGUCCAAGGCCGGUGGCCGGACCAGCCACAGCGUCCGGAACUCGGGGACCAGUUCGGGGGUCCUGAUGGUGGGCCCCAACUUCCGGGUCGGGAAGAAGAUAGGCUGUGGCAACUUCGGGGAGCUCCGGCUAGGAAAGAAUCUCUAUACAAAUGAAUACGUAGCUAUCAAAUUGGAGCCCAUCAAGUCGAGGGCACCGCAGCUGCACCUGGAAUACCGCUUCUACAAGCAGCUCAGCUCCACAGAGGGUGUCCCUCAGGUCUACUACUUUGGCCCGUGCGGGAAGUACAACGCCAUGGUGCUGGAGCUGCUCGGGCCCAGCCUGGAGGACCUAUUCGAUCUGUGUGACCGCACAUUCACGCUCAAGACUGUGCUCAUGAUCGCCAUCCAGCUGAUCACGCGCAUGGAGUAUGUGCACACCAAGAGCCUCAUCUACCGCGAUGUGAAGCCCGAGAACUUCCUGGUGGGGCGGCCGGGCAGCAAGCGGCAGCAUGCCAUCCACAUCAUCGACUUUGGCCUGGCCAAGGAGUACAUCGACCCGGAGACCAAGAAGCACAUCCCCUACCGCGAGCACAAGAGCCUGACGGGCACAGCGCGCUACAUGAGCAUCAAUACACACCUGGGCAAGGAGCAGAGCCGCCGUGACGAUCUGGAGGCGCUAGGCCACAUGUUCAUGUACUUCCUGCGUGGCAGUCUGCCCUGGCAGGGGCUCAAGGCGGACACGCUCAAGGAGCGCUACCAGAAGAUCGGGGACACCAAGCGGGCCACGCCCAUUGAGGUGCUCUGCGAGAGCCACCCAGCCCUGCUGGGCUCUUCUCAGAGGAGAUGGCCACAUACCUGCGCUAUGUGCGGCGCCUGGACUUCUUCGAGAAGCCUGACUACGACUACUUGCGCAAGCUCUUCACAGACCUCUUCGACCGCAGCGGCUUUGUGUUUGACUACGAGUACGACUGGCGGGGAAGCCCCUGCCUACGCCCAUUGGCACAGUUCACACCGACCUGCCUGGGCAUACUCAGCCUAGGGAUAAAGCCCAGCUAUACAGCAAAAACCAGGCACUGAAUUCCACCAAUGGGGAGCUGAAUGCUGACGAUCCCACUGCCGGUCACUCUAACGCCCCCAUCACAGCGCCUGCAGAGGUAGAGGUGGCAGAUGACACCAAGUGCUGCUGUUUCUUCAAGAGGAGAAAGAGGAAAUCACUGCAGAGGCACAAGUGACCCUGGCGGUGGUUCCCACACCCUCCGCUGCAGCUCCUGGAGGAGCUCGUCUGGAUGGCCCACAGCCAAGACAUAGACUGUGGCCCGGAGCUGCUCACCCCUCGUGGGUUACUUCCUUCACAUAAGACUUUGGCCGAAAUUUCUACACCUGUGUCUAGUCCUCCCUUCCAAGAGCAUUAACUAUUUAAAACAAGGAAAAGAAAACACAACGGCCGUCUGCCCUGCGCCCCUUCGCCAUGUCUGCUGAAGUGAGUAGUGUGACCUGGAGGCCCCGGCCACCGCGCCGUCCAGCUUGCCUGCCCCAUUAGUGUCAUAAAGUCUAGCUCGUCUCCCUCUAUCCAAAGGCCAUUUUCUCGAGGGGGCGCUGUGGGGCAUUGCUGCCAGGGGUGAGCCCGCUCUGGGCCUCCCCAAACCAAAGGGGAAGGCGCGGUGGGAGCGGCACCCCAACCAAAAUGCUGCACCAAAGCUUGGACGGUGUGGCCCACAGGUGUUCUGCUGCACCUGCUCCUGGAGCCUGGGGCGGCCACCGGUGUGGCCACUUAGGCCAGGGCUGUGCCCGGUGUGAGGGCCUCUUGUGUCUGUGCCCAGUGUCACUGAGCCGCAGGAAACAAGCGCCUUAGAGCCCCGUCUCAGCCCACAGGUGCGGCCGAGGCCAGGCAGUCAGUCGGGCGGGCGGAGCCGCUGGGGCAUUGGCGGAGGUGUGUGCAUCUAGGUGUUGCUUUACAAAGUGUACAGAAAUGGCACUUCUGUUUCUCUGAUGCUUCCUGGAAGCCAUAGAACUUAGGGGCUUUUUUAAAAAAAUAAAGGAAAAUGAAACCA
RNA transcript from Myotis lucifugus (little brown bat), 2334 nucleotides. It is a transcript of the gene named casein kinase 1 gamma 2, with no coding region annotated. The transcript is spliced from 11 exons. Lineage: Eukaryota; Metazoa; Chordata; Mammalia; Chiroptera; Vespertilionidae. The record is from RefSeq and is a predicted model, not a curated record.